This 24-nucleotide non-coding RNA is filed under the name Arabidopsis thaliana (thale cress). RNAcentral also lists the same sequence under 1 other name. The record is from RNAcentral. Lineage: Eukaryota; Viridiplantae; Streptophyta; Magnoliopsida; Brassicales; Brassicaceae.
UGGUUCCCUCCGAAGUUUCCCUCA